AGUCAGCCUCACACUGAUCACACACAGACAUGAGUGUGCCCACUCAGCUCCUGGCAUUCAUGCUGCUGUGGCUUACAGAUGUCAGAUGUGACAUCCAGAUGACUCAGUCUCCAUCCUCACUAUCUGCAUCUGUGGGGGAAACUGUCACCAUCUCAUGUCGAUCAAGUGAGGACAUAUCCGGUAUUUUACAUUGGUACCAGCAGAAACCAGGGAAAUCUCCUCAGCUCCUGAUCUAUAAUUCAGAUGGUUUGGCAGAUGGUGUGCCAUCCAGGUUCAGUGGCAGUGGAUCUGGCACAGAAUAUUCUCUCAAGAUCAACAGCCUACAGCCUGAAGAUGUUGGAACUUAUUACUGUCAAAGUGUUUAUGGUACAUCUCCCACAGUGAUUCAAGCCAUGACAUAA
This is a non-coding RNA of Mastomys coucha (southern multimammate mouse), 401 nucleotides long. The record is from the annotation of a RefSeq genome assembly. Lineage: Eukaryota; Metazoa; Chordata; Mammalia; Rodentia; Muridae.